GAGUGGCGGACGGGUGAGUAAUGCGUAGGAAUCUACCCAAGAGAUGAGGAUAACGUGGGGAAACUCACGCUAAUACUGAAUACGCCCUACGGGGUAAAGGUUGCGCAAGCAGCCGCUUUUGGAUGAGCCUACGUUUGAUUAGCUAGUUGGUGGGGUAAAGGCCUACCAAGGCGACGAUCAAUAGCUGUUCUGAGAGGAAGAUCAGCCACACUGGGACUGAGACACGGCCCAGACUCC
RNAcentral lists this ribosomal RNA (237 nucleotides) under uncultured bacterium. RNAcentral's name for it is "partial 16S ribosomal RNA". It matches the Rfam family "Bacterial small subunit ribosomal RNA", at positions 93 to 339 of the family's 1533-position model. The record is from RNAcentral.